UAAGCAUAUCAAUAAGCGGAGGAAAAGAAACCAACAGGGAUUGCCCUAGUAACGGCGAGUGAAGCGGCAACAGCUCAAAUUUGAAAUCUGGCCUCGGCCCGAGUUGUAAUUUGCAGAGGAUGUUUCUGGCGCGGUGCCUUCCGAGUUCCCUGGAACGGGACGCCACAGAGGGUGAGAGCCCCGUAUGGUUGGACACCAAGCCUGUGUGAAACUCCUUCGACGAGUCGAGUAGUUUGGGAAUGCUGCUCAAAAUGGGAGGUAAAUCUCUUCUAAAGCUAAAUACCGGCCAGAGACCGAUAGCGCACAAGUAGAGUGAUCGAAAGAUGAAAAGCACCUUGAAAAGGGGGUUAAACAGUACGUGAAAUUGUUGAAAGGGAAGCGCUUGUGACCAGACUUGCGCCGGGCGGUUCAUCCGGGGUUCUCCCCGGUGCACUCCGCCCGGCUCAGGCCAGCAUCGGUUCUCGUUGGGGGAUAAGAACGACAGGAACGUGGCCCUCCUUCGGGUGGGUGUUAUAGCCUGUCGUACGAUACCCUGACGGGGACCGAGGUUCGCGCUCCGCAAGGAUGCUGGCGUAAUGGUCAUCAGCGACCCGUCUUGAAACACGGACCAAGGAGUCGUCCAUUAGAGCGAGCGUUUGGGUGUCAAACCCGCACGCGUAAUGAAAGUGAAAUUAGGUGAGAGCUUCGGCGCAUCAUCGACCGAUCCUGAUGUUCUCGGAUGGAUUUGAGUAAGAGUUUUAACGGACGGACCCGAAAGACAGUGAACUAUGCUUGUAUAGGGUGAAGCCAGAGGAAACUCUGGUGGAGGCUCGCAGCGGUUCUGACGUGCAAAUCGAUCGUCAAAUAUGAGCAUGGGGGCGAAAGACUAAUCGAACUGUCUAGUAGCUGGUUACCGCCGAA
RNAcentral lists this ribosomal RNA (900 nucleotides) under Celoporthe guangdongensis. Its description in RNAcentral is "LSU rRNA". It matches the Rfam family "Eukaryotic large subunit ribosomal RNA", at positions 35 to 965 of the family's 3401-position model. Lineage: Eukaryota; Fungi; Ascomycota; Sordariomycetes; Diaporthales; Cryphonectriaceae. The record is from RNAcentral.